This 253-nucleotide ribosomal RNA is filed under the name uncultured bacterium. Its description in RNAcentral is "partial 16S ribosomal RNA". It matches the Rfam family "Bacterial small subunit ribosomal RNA", at positions 524 to 776 of the family's 1533-position model. The record is from RNAcentral.
UACGAGGGGGGCAAGCGUUGUUCGGAAUUAUUGGGCGUAAAGGGCGCGUAGGCGGUGCGGCAAGUCUGAUGUGAAAUCUCCGGGCUCAACUCGGAGUCUGCAUCAGAAACUGCCGUGCUUGAGUGUGGGAGAGGUGAGUGGAAUUCCCGGUGUAGCGGUGAAAUGCGCAGAUAUCGGGAGGAACACCAAUGGCGAAGGCGGCGCUCUGGACCGUAACUGACGCUGAGGCGCGAAAGCGUGGGGAGCAAACAGG